AUUGAACGCUGGCGGCAGGCCUAACACAUGCAAGUCGAGCGGAGCGGCGGACGGGUGCGUAAUGCCUAGGAAUCUGCCUGGUAGUGGGGGCUGACGUACGGAAACGGGCGCUAAUACAGCAUACUAUCAGAUUAGCCUCGGUCGGAUUAGCUAGUUGGUGGGGUAAAGGCCUACCAAGGAGACGAUCCGUAACUGGUCUGAGAGGAUGAUCAGUCACACGGGAACUGAGAAACGGUCCAGAAGCCGACGGGAGGCAGCAUUGUGGAAUAUUGGACAAUGGGGGAAAGCCUGAUCCAGUCAUGCCGCGUGUGUGAAGAAGUUCUUCGGAUUGUAAAGCACUUUAAGUUGGGAGGCGUUACCAACAGAAUAAGCACCGGCUAACUUCGUGCCAGCAGCCGCGGUAAUUC
This 407-nucleotide ribosomal RNA is filed under the name uncultured bacterium. RNAcentral's name for it is "partial 16S ribosomal RNA". It matches the Rfam family "Bacterial small subunit ribosomal RNA", at positions 30 to 526 of the family's 1533-position model. The record is from RNAcentral.